ACCCUAUGCAGCUUCUACUGACCCUAUGCAGACUCUACNNGCCAACCCAUAAAAAAAUACUUAUAAUGGUGACACAAAAUCGGAGGCCACGACUGUUUACUAAAAACACAACACAGUGCAAUCAUUAAUAUGAUAGUAUACUGUGUGAAAUUUGCCCGAUGCCAUUAAUAUAAGAGCGAUCAUGGUUUUCUGUGAUUAAUCGAAAAUCUGGUUAAUAGCGGUCUUAACUAUGAGGAUCCUAAGGUAGCAAAAUAAAUUGGCCUUUAAAUGAGGCCGGUAUCAAUAAUGUAACGAUGGUCUACUG
This 304-nucleotide ribosomal RNA is filed under the name Laccaria pumila. Its description in RNAcentral is "LSU rRNA". The stretch from base 76 to 301 matches the Rfam family "Bacterial large subunit ribosomal RNA", at positions 1783 to 2014 of the family's 2925-position model. Lineage: Eukaryota; Fungi; Basidiomycota; Agaricomycetes; Agaricales; Hydnangiaceae. The record is from RNAcentral.